RNAcentral lists this ribosomal RNA (497 nucleotides) under uncultured bacterium. Its description in RNAcentral is "partial 16S ribosomal RNA". It matches the Rfam family "Bacterial small subunit ribosomal RNA", at positions 28 to 507 of the family's 1533-position model. The record is from RNAcentral.
GAUGAACGCUGGCGGCGUGCCUAAUACAUGCAAGUCGAGCGAACAGACGAGGAGCUUGCUCCUCUGACGUUAGCGGCGGACGGGUGAGUAACACGUGGAUAACCUACCUAUAAGACUGGGAUAACUUCGGGAAACCGGAGCUAAUACCGGAUAAUAUAUUGAACCGCAUGGUUCAAUAGUGAAAGACGGUUUUGCUGUCACUUAUAGAUGGAUCCGCGCCGCAUUAGCUAGUUGGUAAGGUAACGGCUUACCAAGGCGACGAUGCGUAGCCGACCUGAGAGGGUGAUCGGCCACACUGGAACUGAGCCACGGUCCAGGCUCCUACGGGAGGCAGCAGUAGGGAAUCUUCCGCAAUGGUCGAAAGCCUGACGGAGCAACGCCGCGUGAGUGAUGAAGGUCUUCGGAUCGUAAAACUCUGUUAUUGGGGAAGAACAAAUGUGUAAGUAACUAUGCACGUCUUGACGGUACCUAAUCAGAAAGCCCCGGCUAACUACGUG